UGUCAGAAGACCACUCUGUCAGGAAAAGCCAAUCCUCAGCAACACCCUCAAAAUGCUGGAGAAACUUAGCAGGUCAGGCUGCAAAUAUGAAAAGAAAUAAAUUGUCAGCGUUUUGGGUUGUGAUCCUUCAUCAGGACUGGAAGAAGCCGCCACCAAGCAAGAGAGAACCAGACUACAGCGCACAGUGAGGACUGCCGAGCGCAUCAUUGGAGCCUCCCUGCCCUCUAUUGUGGACCUGUACUCUUCCAGGUUGAAGAAGAGGGCGGGGAACAUCAUAAAGGACUCCGUCCAACCUGCGCACGGACUGUUUGAACUGCUUCCGUCUGAAAGGAAAAUGGUAGAGGUGAUAAAAUUAACUGGAAAGGAAGAAAGAGUCAGCCUGCUUCCCAUUGUUGAUUGCUAACCUUGGAUAUUACCCUGAAGUGGCAGGAGUUUUCAUUAUCGUGUGGAAGAGUGAACAGUAAACUGUUAAUCUUACUGUGAUCAUGCCCUCAUUGACUACGGUUUACCUCGGUGUUUAGUUCAGAGUUUCUACACCUGUAUGAGAACACUAGAGUGCAAAGGCAGAUUUACCAGGUGUUUCAACAAGUGGUACGAUGGCCACGUGAUCAAGUGUCAAGUCAUUGCCAUCCAGCGCCAGGAGCAGAAGGGCAUCAGCAAAUAAGGCUGCCCACAUAAGAGUGAAAGCAGAAACCGCCAAGGUGCGAGUGUCGUACGCUGAACAGGAAACAAAAUUGAAAAUGGAAAAGGCUGCCAGAGAAGCCAAAAACCAGUUGGAAAGGAUAAGGAUAGAAGCAGAGUUAGAAGUGCUGAUGCUAUGCUGAGAAACCGAAGCUGCCAUGGUGGAAGCAGAAAUGUUAGAAAGCGCUGAAGGAAUGCACGUUCUAGAUGAAGUAAAAUCUACUUCAGAAAGGACCAAAUUGGAACGCACUAGCAAAUACAUCCGAUCUCAAAUGGACCUGAAGAUUCGUUCUUCCUCUCCAUACUUAUUUGCUAAUGUCCCAUUUCAUGAGGAGUCAACGAGAAGUCCAAUUGCAUUGCAUCCAUUGAGGAAGACAAUUUAUGCUUGCAACUUUGCGAUGAAAUCGAGAAUGAAAGGGCUGACGACAAAUACUUCUCAAUGCCAAACUUACCAGAUUUGGCAAGAGAGGAGGCAAAGGCUGAAUUCAGAACAGCAAAUCUCAUAACGAAUGUACACCCUCAGUCAUGUAUCCGCUGACAUAUUCCACCAGCCAGUGUGCCAUUUGCAGUUGAACCCAUGGCACAGUAUUUAGCACGACGAGAUCUCGUCACUUCAGGACUAUACCAGUUUGACGAUAAGCCUGAAAAUUACCGUGCAUGGUACUCCACAUUCGCCAACGCUACCGGCAGAGUCCAGCUCGGAGCAACCCAAGAGUUGGAUCUUUUGACAAAAUGGCUGGGAACAGAAUCAUGCGAACAGGUGAGACGCAUACGUUCAGUGUACAUCAACAACCCCAAGCAAAGCAUGGGAGAGACUACAGGAGUGCUUUGCGGCCCCUGAAAUUAUUGAAACAGCACUACUUCGACGGCUGGAAAAUUUUCCUAGGGUGUCAGCCAAGGACCACACUAAAUUAAGAGAACUCAGAGAUUUACUCAUGGAGAUUGAAGGCGCUAAAGAAGAUGGCUAUUUAACUGGCCUAUUGUAUCUAGAUACUUCAUACAGAAUUAGACCAAUUGUGAACAAACUUCCAUUUGGGCUGCAGGAAAGGUAGGUGUCUGUUGGCUCAGAGUACAAGGAGGAGAACGGUGGUCAAUUUCCUUCCUUUAAGUAUUUCACUAGGUUUGUGUGCAAGGAGGCGAAGAAGUGAAACGACCCUAGCUUCAUGAGUCAAGGUAGCAGUACAAUUUACACCAAGCCAGUCAAAUCCACUUCGGAUAAUUUUAACAUCAAUAAACCUGUCUCGGUGCGUAAAACUGAAGUCUCUACAACUAACAAUGACCCUAGCAAGAAUUGUCCAUUGCACAACAAACCCCACCCCCUCAAAAAAUGCAGAACGUUUAGGAAAAAACCCCUUGAAGAGAGAAUGGCCCUUCUCAAGGAGAAAAAAAACUAUGUACCUCUCACCUUGCUAGAGAGUGUACGAUCCCCGUGAAGUGCUCGUAAUGUAAUAGCGCUAAUCACGAUGGGGCCAUACAUCCCGGCCUGUUACCACAAACCGACAAAGCUCCUUCACCCUCACAAGGGGACGGCGGGGAGGGAGAGGAUCAGACCAGAGUUCUUCGAGUUGUUCAACAUAGUGAGUAAUCAGUUCCCAUACUACCUUAGAACUUGCUCAGGCAACGUAGAAACAUAUGGCAGGAAGGCAGAAGGCUUCCAGCUCGAGUGGCUGGUUGGUAAAGUUGUCAUCUGUCUCCCUCCACUCUUAGAGAGCAAUGAAAUUUUGAAUAACCGCACUGAGAUCCUGACACCAAGCGUAGUACAACACCAGCCGCAUCUCCACCACAUCGCCAAGCACAUCCCAGAACUGGAUCCAGAAGCAGAAAUACUCCUGCUACUCGGAAGAGAUGUUCUCUGGGUGCACAAGGUCAGGCAGCAGGUCAAUGGACCACACGACGCCCCCUUUGCCCAACGCCUGGAUCUGGGCUGGGUGGUGAUAGGAGAGGUGUGCCUUGGCAAUGUACACAAACCGACAGAUUAUAUUGAGAAAUAUACCUGACAUAAUCACUAUAUAUACCUGAAAUAUAACCACUAUGUACUGGCUAUUUACUAUACAAUGUAAUCAUUUCUAUGUACUGAAUAUUACUAUGUAUUAGUUUACUAGACACAUUUUGCUAUGUAUUGUUUUAACUAGAUACCUUGUAUUCUCUUAGCUACAUACUUAAAGAACACCUGUUUAGCUAGCAGCACUAAUUAGCUGAAAUGUACUCCAUAUAUUAUACGCAGCCUUUGUUUAUUAAGAGAUAAUGGUGGCAGACAGGAUGGUACGAGCAGAAGAUGUAAUGUGAGGGAGGUUAAGGAGGCUGACUGAGAAACAACUGUGGCCAGGAAUGAGGCCCAAGUUGUGAACUGGAAAGAAAUACUGGUGGCGCACCGAGAGCUAGGCAAGAGCGAUUGAUUAGUUAAUGUAUAGAUGAUAUGCAAAUAUAAAUUGAUUGGGUAUGCUGAUGAAACCGGAAUGUAACUGAGAUAAGAAAUUACUAUAAAGAAUGCUGUACGCCGGAGCUCGGCGGGCUUUCGGUGACAAGUUCAUUGAUUGCCUCAGCCUUUGUUUGCAAAUAAAGGUUUAAACUUCUUGAAGGAGUCUGUGUCUCCUGGUCAUUUCAAGUAACCACGACAAAAUUGGCGUCAUGAACAGGAUCGGAAAGAGACCCGCAAAAAGGAUUCGGCGGGUUGAGGCCGCUUCCCAGUCCCUCAGGAGCCCUCACAGAGCUAACAGAAUUACCGGUGCACCCAGAAAAAAGGUAAUCGCUUUUUGCGACAAUUUGGACUAAAAUUCUGUUAGUUUUGGGGGUCUCGGGGACUCAGAAGUGUGUAGCAACUGCCGAAGGGUCUUUCCGAUCCAACAAAUCUGGCAGAAUUGAGGGCUUGACAGGAGGCUCAGAGGAUUGAUCGAGAACACUGCAGUGGGGGUAAGUAUGAAUAAGAAGUUGAGUAAAGAAAAUUCCACGUGGUGUUGGUAAAUCCCUGUGGAUACCGCUUCACAUGAAAUGAAGGGCUGAACGGGCAGGGAAAGUGAAGAGAAAGUUCUGUGAGUACUGCCCUAGAUUGAGGGCUGCUCGGGCAGAACGGAACAGAAGGUAAGAAGAAUUUGAUAAAUUGCUUGAACACUGGUAGUAUAAACUGUAGGGCAAGGCUUAGAGAUAGGAUCAGGGAAGUAUUUGAAUUGUGAGACUUUUUAAAGAAAUAAUACCUAAGAGAAGAAGAGAAUAACAUGGCGGAAGAAAAAAGAACAGCAGUAGACAUACUGUGCACGAAAUUCCCGGUAAUUAGAGGUGAGAUUACUGCAAUUUCAGAGAAAUGGGAAAAAAGAACCAAUAACCUGCACACAAAAUGGCCAAAAGAAGGGACAUUCGAUGUAAGCUUGUGUGAAGAGAUGGAAGCACUAAUUAAAAAUCAUAAACCAAACGAUAAGUCCAAGACAAGGGAGGAAAGGAGUGAGCAGGAGAUGAAACUUUUUAGGAUGGAGGGAGAGAGAUUGAGAAAGACAGGCAGGAUAUUGGUAAUAAACGAAAAAGGCACAAGGGGAACAGGGAAAACAGUUGGGUGGGGGAGAGGAAAAGCCUAACAGAAACGUGGCUUCAGCUCUAUACCCGGAUAUGAAAGAAGUAGAAAGACCCCCUCCCUAUAAUGAGCAGGGAACACCCAAGCAAUGCCCCAUAAUAUCAGGAACAGUAAGCCUGCAGGGGGAAGUAGAGGUCUGGGACCCUGAGGAGGAAAGAAGGAAAUAUGAGAGGGUGAGAGAGGUGCUGAAGAAUGAGAUAGAGGGAGAAAAGAUGAGGCUGGAACAGGAAAGAAGGGAUAUGGUAAGAGAAGUGGAAAGGCUACAGCAGCAGAGAGAGAAGAGGGAUUAUGAGGAGUGUCGGUUAUACUGUAGAGACAGACAGACUAGAAGAGAACAGGAAUCAACUAGACGGCAAGAACGGAGUGAUUUGAGAGGAAGGAGGAAGGUAGGAAACGAGAGUUUGGAGGAAGCACGAGAGAGAACAGAGAGGCAGAUAUUGGAGAUGGAAGAGGGGACUAGAGGAGAGAAGGAACAAGGGAGAAGGUAUACCCCAAGGAGGUAUGAGUGGCAGCCAGUAGAAAUAGGGUCAGCAAUAGAUGAAGAAUCAGGUGAGGCAGGAAGCUUGAUUACAUGGAACGGGGAGAAGGAAAUGCUGCCACUGCUGGUAAGGGAUCAGGACAAGUACAGUAUAUCCCUUGGGGAUCCCAGGACCUGGAGGGGCUGAAAAAUACUCUGCCUAGUCUGCACAAGGGGGCAGGAAAGUGGAUUAGAGCCUUCGAGGAGGAAACAACGGGACGAUUGUUGGCUAUGGGAGAUUUGAAGGCACUGCUGAUAAGAUUGAAGGGAACUUCCAAGCUAAAAGAACUGAUGUGGACAGCCCAAAGACUAAUGGGGCCAAUUUUGAUCCAGUGAGGCAGAGGGUAUGGCAGGCCCUCAGGAAACUUUACCCACCCAAAGUGGACCCCAAAGCCUUAAAAGGGGAUCCACUGGGAGACACUGAAAACCCAGCAGCCUAUGUAGAAAACCAGUUGAAAAGGUGGAGACUGGAGACUGAGCAAGAGGUGGAAAAUAGCUUGUUUCUGAACUCACUGUUCCAACAAGGCAUUCUGGACACAAUGCCUCAGCAAGUCAAAAUCAAAUUGGAGGAAGUAGUUGGGCUGUUGUCGCUGACCCCACAGGCAUUCAGUGAUCACGUAGUCCAUGCGGGGGAGAAAUAUCGGAGAGACAAAUGAAAGCUGGCUGAGCAGCAAGAAGAGGUGCAGCAAAAGCUAUUGCAAAUGCAGCUCGAAGAACUGAAAAAAAAAGAAAAAGAGAAAAGCAAAAAGAUGCUGCCAGUUACCACCAGUGUGAGUACAGCCAUUAAAGUGAAUGAAGCACCGCUAGAUGGAGGAACCGGUCAUUCUGUCAGUCAAGGGCCAGAAAACCCCAUGCCAAUAAUGAAUGUCUUCAGAGGAACAUUUCCACAGAUGCCCUAUCAGGGACAGAGUAGAUUUAAGCAACAGCCCAGACAGGACUGGAACUCCCAAGGUAGGGGACAGAGGAGUUAUGGGCAGAGAGGAUUAGUGAGGAGAGGGGGGAAAGAGAGAUAGAAAGAUUGUGCUGGGGAUGCAGUCAGACUGGACACAUGAAGAGAGACUGCCCAUUUAAACAAUGGCUCGUCUCGUACCAGCAGGAACCGAUGCAAGGGAGUCACAGUUUGGCCACAUGCCGGCUCCUGGGGGUCUGAGCAAACCUGUAAACCCCUAUGCAAGGUAUUAGGGGUGGCCCGAGAACUCGAGUGGGAAGGGACAUUACCCGAUGAUAAUGAGGGAGGCAGAGGAGGAACCUAUGGUUCAGGUUAUGUUAGAAGGGCAACUGACACCAAUGAUGAUAGAUACUGGAGUCACGUACACUUGUGUACAGCCACAGUAUGCCCUUCACCUUCCCAUGUCAGGAAGGUUUAUUAAGACGGUAGGGUUCUCGGGGAAAACACAGCUGACACAGUGCACGGCUCCAGUGCAUUUGAGAAUGGGAAAUAAAGGAAUUGUUUUGCCAGUACUAGUAUCUAAAGGAACUCCAAUUAAUUUGUUAGGCAGAGAUGCUCUAUUGAAACUGGAAUUAAAAUUAGAAUGCACCAGAAAUGGGUUAAGUGCGGAAAGAGCAGGGGCUCAAUUGAUAGUGCGAGAAGAUAAGAGAGGCAAUGUUUUUUGGAUAGGGGACAUUGAAGAUUAGAUCUGGGUUGCCUGGGAAAAGUGGAAACAGGGCGUGCAGGCCAUAUUACCUGAGGCUGUAGCACCCAAAUCUGAGUUACUGUAAUUUUCAAUGAGACUCAGAAUAAGGAGGUAGAGAGGAGAUGGAACAUGAGGACAGAUAUUCGACAACACCUGAAAGGGGAAGCCAUAGUAAUUGGGAAGCAGGGG
Hypanus sabinus (Atlantic stingray) is the source of this 6583-nucleotide long non-coding RNA. RefSeq lists it as uncharacterized. The record is from RefSeq and is a predicted model, not a curated record. NCBI's taxonomy places the organism in Eukaryota, Metazoa, Chordata, Chondrichthyes, Myliobatiformes, Dasyatidae. The transcript has 4 exons.